GACGAACGCUGGCGGCGUGCUUAACACAUGCAAGUCGAACGGUAAGGCUCCAGCUUGCUGGGGUACACGAGUGGCGAACGGGUGAGUAACACGUGGGUGACCUGCCCUGCACUUCGGGAUAAGCCUGGGAAACUGGGUCUAAUACCGGAUAGGACCAUGGUGUGGAUACUGUGGUGGAAAGUUUUUUCGGUGUGGGAUGGGCCCGCGGCCUAUCAGCUUGUUGGUGGGGUAAUGGCCUACCAAGGCGGCGACGGGUAGCCGGCCUGAGAGGGUGGACGGCCACAUUGGGACUGAGAGACGGCCCAGACUCCUACGGGAGGCAGCAGUGGGGAAUAUUGCACAAUGGGCGGAAGCCUGAUGCAGCGACGCCGCGUGGGGGAUGACGGCCUUCGGGUUGUAAACUCCUUUCGCCAUCGACGAAGGGUUUCUGACGGUAGAUGGAGAAGAAGCACCGGCUAACUACGUG
This 466-nucleotide ribosomal RNA is filed under the name uncultured bacterium. Its description in RNAcentral is "partial 16S ribosomal RNA". It matches the Rfam family "Bacterial small subunit ribosomal RNA", at positions 28 to 507 of the family's 1533-position model. The record is from RNAcentral.